AUGCUCAAGGUUGCUCAAGAAUUGAUCAGACAAAUUCUCCUCCUAAGCAAUGGACCUACAACUAAGAUUUCAAUUUUAUCAAGAAAGAUUAAACUUAUAAUGCCUCAAGUGGAGUUCAUGGUUUCUCAUAUGUCUCUAAGAAUGCUCAUGCCAAGUUUAAAACCUUGCAUCACAAGAUUGCUCAGUCAAUUUCUCAGAUGA
This is a non-coding RNA of Vicia faba (fava bean), 201 nucleotides long. Lineage: Eukaryota; Viridiplantae; Streptophyta; Magnoliopsida; Fabales; Fabaceae. The record is from the annotation of a GenBank genome assembly.